Molecule: RNA transcript, 1553 nt
Organism: Panicum hallii
Lineage: Eukaryota; Viridiplantae; Streptophyta; Magnoliopsida; Poales; Poaceae
Gene name: homoserine kinase-like
Exons: 2
Source: RefSeq, a predicted model, not a curated record
GGGGGACACGAGCGGGGCCCACCUGUCAACGAGACGUCACCAACCAACCAACCCCACCACUAAACCCAAAAGCCCAGCCAUCCUAGUCUCGUCUCGUCUCAACCCCCACCCAAACCCACCAAACAAUGGCGGCGGCGGCGGCGGCGGCGGCGGCGACCUCCUCCUUCCCCUCCGCGCGCAGGGAAAGGACCAGGACGAGGUCCUGGGCCUGUUCCGGCCGCCCUUGGCUCGUCUCCCUCCGCUCGGGAGCCCUGCUGAGGGUCCGCGCCGCCGCCGAACCCGCCCCGGCCUUCCAGUCCGUGACGGCCUUCGCGCCCGCCACCGUGGCCAACCUCGGCCCGGGCUUCGACUUCCUCGGAUGCGCCGUGGCCGACGCCUCCCUCUCCCUCGGCGACACCGUGACCGCCACCCUGGACCCCACCCUGCGCCCCGGCGCCGUCUCCAUCGCCUCCGUCACCUCCCCGUCCCGCCCCCACCUCGCCGGCCGCCUCUCCAAGGACCCGCUCCGCAACUGCGCGGGCGUGGCCGCCAUCGCCGCGCUCCGCUCCCUCGGCGUCCGGUCCCACGCCAUCUCCAUCCAGCUCACCAAGGGCCUGCCGCUGGGCUCUGGCCUAGGCUCCUCCGCGGCCUCCGCCGCCGCCGCGGCCAAGGCCGUGGACGCCCUGUUCGGCUCGCGCCUCGGCCGCGACGACCUCGUCCUGGCGGGCCUCGAGUCCGAGAAGGCCGUGAGCGGCUUCCACGCGGACAACAUCGCGCCGGCCAUCCUGGGCGGCUUCGUCCUGGUGCGCAGCUACGAGCCCUUCCACCUGGUCCCGCUGGCCUCCCCGGCCGGCCUCCGCCUCCACUUCGUCCUGGUGACCCCCGAGUUCGAGGCGCCGACGAGCAAGAUGCGCGCCGCGCUGCCAAAGGAGGUGGGCGUCCAGCAGCACGUGCGGAACUCGAGCCAGGCGGCGGCGCUGGUGGCGGGCGUGCUGCAGGGGGACGCGGGGCUGAUCGGCUCCGCCAUGUCGUCGGACGGCAUCGUGGAGCCGGCGAGGGCGCCCCUGAUACCUGGCAUGGCGGCCGUGAAGGCGGCGGCGCUGCAGGCCGGUGCGCUGGGGUGCACCAUCAGCGGGGCGGGGCCCACGGCGGUGGCGGUGAUCGAGGGCGAGGAGAAGGGGGAGGAGGUUGGCGGCAGGAUGGUGGAGGCCUUCUGGAGCGCUGGAAAGCUCAAGGCAAGAGCAACCGUGGCUCAGCUCGAUAGGCUUGGUGCCAGGGUCAUCGCCACAUCUGCUGCUUAAGGAUCUCGGCUAGCCGCUAGCAAAUGGUCAGUUCUGUUUCGGCUACCAGGCUUGAGUGGUCCUGGUUGGAGGCAGGCCGCGGCGGCGGAGGAACCAACCAUUGAUUUGCUUGGCUUGGUUGCAACAAGAGCUAGAUUUCGUGCUGCAAUUAGGAGGAGAGGUGCUGGAUGGAACACUCAUCAUAUUGGCUUGUAAUUUGUUCUGUUCUGUUCUGUUUGGGCUGAUGAAAUGAAUGAAUAAAAGGAAGAAGGCAGAGGCCUCUGCUGAACUGAA